Molecule: unclassified non-coding RNA, 360 nt
Filed under: uncultured fungus
Lineage: Eukaryota; Fungi
Description: partial contains small subunit ribosomal RNA, internal transcribed spacer 1, and 5.8S ribosomal RNA
Rfam family: Eukaryotic small subunit ribosomal RNA (bases 1-73)
Source: RNAcentral
UCAAACUUGGUCAUUUAGAGGAAGUAAAAGUCGUAACAAGGUUUCCGUAGGUGAACCUGCGGAAGGAUCAUUACAAAAAAGAACUAUAGUUCGUGAAGGGGGUCAAAUCCUGGAUCUGCUAUAACUCCUUUUAUAACCCUGCUUAAUUGACCUCAUGUUGCUUCGGUAGAUCAAAGAUGUUUCAUCUUGACUGGCCCUUCUCAGGUCUGGUUAGUGUCUAUCGACAGCCCCCUUUAAAAACUUCUGUAUAAAUUUUGUCUGAAUUUAAAGGUUUUAUACCUUUUAACUGUUUAUUUUUUAAACAAAAAUACAACUUUCAACAAUGGAUCUCUUGGCUCUGGCAUCGAUGAAGAACGCAGC